UGCUGUUUUGGCAGAGUUAGUGUAUUAAAUUUAGAAUUUAAUUAAAUGAUUAAAUAAUCAUAUACAGUAU
RNAcentral lists this transfer RNA (70 nucleotides) under Tettigades ulnaria. RNAcentral describes it as "tRNA-Leu". Lineage: Eukaryota; Metazoa; Arthropoda; Insecta; Hemiptera; Cicadidae. The record is from RNAcentral.